GACGAACGCUGGCGGCGUGCUUAACACAUGCAAGUCGAACGGAAAGGCCCUGCUUUUGUGGGGUGCUCGAGUGGCGAACGGGUGAGUAACACGUGAGUAACCUGCCCUUGACUUUGGGAUAACUUCAGGAAACUGGGGCUAAUACCGGGUAGGAGCUCCUGCUGCAUGGUGGGGGUUGGAAAGUUUCGGCGGUUGGGGAUGGACUCGCGGCUUAUCAGCUUGUUGGUGGGGUAGUGGCUUACCAAGGCUUUGACGGGUAGCCGGCCUGAGAGGGUGACCGGCCACAUUGGGACUGCGGUACGGCCCAGACGCCUACGGGAGGCAGCAGUGGGGAAUAUUGCACAAUGGGGGGAAGCCUGAGGCAGCAACGCCGCGUGCGGGAUGACGGCCUUCGGGUUGUAAACCGCUUUCGCCUGUGACGAAGCGUGAGUGACGGUAAUGGGUAAAGAGGCACCGGCUAACUACGUG
RNAcentral lists this ribosomal RNA (468 nucleotides) under uncultured bacterium. RNAcentral describes it as "partial 16S ribosomal RNA". It matches the Rfam family "Bacterial small subunit ribosomal RNA", at positions 28 to 507 of the family's 1533-position model. The record is from RNAcentral.